UACAGAGGGGGCAAGCGUUGUUCGGAAUUACUGGGCGUAAAGGGCGCGUAGGCGGCCUUCUAAGUCGAACGUGAAAUCCCCGGGCUCAACCCGGGAACUGCGUCCGAGACUGAAAGGCUUGAAUCCGGGAGAGGGAUGUGGAAUUCCAGGUGUAGCGGUGAAAUGCGUAGAUAUCGGGAGGAACACCAGUGGCGAAGGCGACUACCUGGCCUGUUUCUUGACGCUGAGGCGCGAAAGCUAGGGGAGCAAACGGG
This 254-nucleotide ribosomal RNA is filed under the name uncultured bacterium. RNAcentral describes it as "partial 16S ribosomal RNA". It matches the Rfam family "Bacterial small subunit ribosomal RNA", at positions 524 to 776 of the family's 1533-position model. The record is from RNAcentral.